RNAcentral lists this ribosomal RNA (251 nucleotides) under uncultured prokaryote. RNAcentral describes it as "partial 16S rRNA". It matches the Rfam family "Bacterial small subunit ribosomal RNA", at positions 525 to 775 of the family's 1533-position model. The record is from RNAcentral.
ACGGAGGGGGCAAGCGUUACUCGGAAUUAUUGGGCGUAAAGGGCGCGUAGGCGGUCUCGUGCGUCGAGGGUGAAAUCCCCGGGCUUAACCCGGGAACUGCCUUCGAUACGGCCGGACUUGAGUUCGGGAGAGGGGAGCAGAAUUCCCAGUGUAGCGGUGAAAUGCGUAGAUAUUGGGAGGAAUACCAGUGGCGAAGGCGGCUCCCUGGACCGGUACUGACGCUGAGGCGCGAAAGCGUGGGUAGCAAACAG